CAGCCGCCACGGUAAUACGAAGGGGGCUAGCGUUGUUCGGAUUUACUGGGCGUAAAGCGCACGUAGGCGGACUUUUAAGUCAGGGGUGAAAUCCCGGGGCUCAACCCCGGAACUGCCUUUGAUACUGGGAGUCUUGAGUUCGAGAGAGGUGAGUGGAAUUGCGAGUGUAGAGGUGGAAUUCGUAGAUAUUCGCAGGAACACCAGUGGUGAAGGCGGCUCGCUGGCUCGAUACUGACGCUGAGGUGCGAAAGCGUGGGGAGCAAACAGGAUUAGAUACCCCGGUAGUCCCUGUCUCUUAUAC
Molecule: ribosomal RNA, 301 nt
Filed under: uncultured bacterium
Lineage: Bacteria
Description: partial 16S ribosomal RNA
Rfam family: Bacterial small subunit ribosomal RNA
Source: RNAcentral